This 22-nucleotide microRNA is filed under the name Bos taurus (domestic cattle). RNAcentral describes it as "Bta-Mir-2328_5p (mature (guide))". The record is from RNAcentral. Lineage: Eukaryota; Metazoa; Chordata; Mammalia; Artiodactyla; Bovidae.
GCCCCCUCCCUUGGUCGCCGGC